Non-coding RNA from Callithrix jacchus (white-tufted-ear marmoset), 2267 nucleotides. The record is from RefSeq and is a predicted model, not a curated record. NCBI's taxonomy places the organism in Eukaryota, Metazoa, Chordata, Mammalia, Primates, Cebidae.
AAGUCCCGGGACAGGUCGUGUGAGCCCCUUGAGGGGGUCGUCCAGUGCUGUUUCAGAGAAAUCUCUAUUUCAAUCUGUUCCUAUAUGUUUGUUAUUGAAAAACAAUAGACAAUCGAAAAAACAAGUUGAACUUUUUGUGUUCCUUGAGCCCAGUCUUGAAGUGCCCUCGUGACUGUCCCUCAUGCCAAACAACUUGUUACAAAAAGAGCUGGGGUUCCAGACCGCACCAAAGCUUCAUGAGUCCUCUCCUGUCUGUGCACGGACGAGGGUAGGACUCUGGAGCCCAGACUGCUGCUUCCUGAUCUGGUGGUAAAUUCUCCAUAGUCUGGAGGCAGCAGAACUUGUGGAGAAGAGUGAGGCACGUUUGAGAAAGGCUGAAAAAUGUUGCUGUCCAGGCACAUGUGUGUGCUGAAUGACUCAAGGAUUUUUUGGUGCAUUAAAUGAACAGCGCAGCAUUGGACACCUGCUGAUCCAUCACCCCCAGCCCAGGCAGGCACGUGGACGCAGAGAGAUGGAGAAGACCAGGCACGGGACUGAGGAGGGCCACACCACCAGAAAUCCCCCUCUGAGUCCCGGUCCAGCCCCACACCUGUGGGUGCAUGUGGAGCUGCAGGCAGGGCUCCUGCUUCGGACAGAGGAACAGGCAGGGAAGUUGCUGCCUCACGGGUGGAGGAGCCAGGGCGGGGAGGUGGGGAGGCCUGUCUAGCCCCUGUUACUGUUACCACCGGUGGCUCCUCACUCGCCAGUGCGGCUUCGCCUCAGCUUCAUUAAUAGGGGAGGGAGCUAAGAGUUUUCACAUCCAGGUGUGGACAGUGGGGAGACAGGCAGGAGUGGCCGCUGGUUUCUCAGACCUCCCAGAGAGGCUGAGGCAAUGGGCCGCCCUGAAGCAGGCACGAUUCUGUCUUCAGAUGGACACUGGAGGGUCACACUGCGUGGGACGCUGGGCCCUGGCUCUUCUGGGAGGAAAUACUGCCCAGGGCUGCACAUGUUCACUGUGUUUUUUGUAUACUUGAUAUUUUUUUCUUCUCUUCACUCUGUCAUGAAACCAGCCACAGUAGGCAAUAAAUAAAUACAUGUUACAGAUGAAUGUUUACUGUGAGUGAAUUAACAAAGGAGUGAAUAAAUGGACAAUUGAUGUAGGGCCUGUCCUGUCUCAGGGACUCUCAUAAAGUCCUCCACGCUGGGCAGAGCCUGCCUUCCUGCCAGGGUAUCGGGAUGCGACUCUCAACGCGGCAGGACCAGGACACUGAUUCUGCUGAGGAGGCCCGGUCUCAGAAAACUGAGUGGCUGCUUCUGCAGACCCCGCAUCCUCCACUUUCUGGAGGAAGGAGAAGCUCCGGCUGGGUCCUGGGACUGAACCCUUGGGUGCACAGAAAUGGGCUUGGCUGUCUGUCAGUAAAGUGGCCAGAAACACAGACCUGGGGAGGAGGAAGCUGGGCGGGCGGCGUUUUCUGCACAGCGACCUGCUCCUUCGCCUGAUGCCAUUACUCUUCAAGUACCCUGAAGAUUGAGCCCGGGGUGAGGAUGGGUAGGCAGUUUUUGGGGGGAUGGAGUGGGCUUGGAGAAAUGUUGGUGCCUUAGCAGGCUGUGCCCCUGAGAAGCCAGUGUCUACAGCUCAGGUAUUGGGCUGCGUGCACAGAAACAUGCUGCUGAGGGCAUUUGGUGUGGGUAGGGCUGGGAAAAGGAGCCAGGGCUGCCUGUUUUAAUGGGUGUCUGCAGGCAUGCAAUCACAAGAGAGGAGGAAGUAGAGAAGGAGAAGGGAGGCCUCCUUGGGAGGUGCGUCAUCCUGAGGAAGGCUGAACAACGAGGGUCACGGAGAAUCAACUCAGGACCACAGCCUUGCGGAGUGGGCAAAAACAACAGGGCUUCUUGAGGCUGCUCGGGCGUUCACGCACUCAGCAAUGCCUGCUGUGAGUGAGCCUACAUAUUAGGGAAGAGGGACAAUGACCCCAAAUGAGGGACUCUGAGUCAACGACAAGAUUAAACAAAGUUAAAACAAAGUAGGAAAUCAAGAGUGGCUGCUGUGACGGCCUCGUGGAGAUGACAUUAGUGCUGAGAACCAGACAAGUGAGCCUCUGAGCCGCAUCUGCACCCUGAGGCUGAGCCGGCGCACAGGCCCUGCAGAGGGCCUGGACUGGGCUUCUAGAUGGCUCCAGGCCUAGAGGAGCAAGGUUGGGAAGUGGGCAGGCCAGCUCCUGCCAGGCAGGAGAAAGACUCAGACCUCAUGCCUCCUGCGCCUGGGUGAUUGUGAGCACGUAACAAAUGUG